AACAAGCGAGUCACAGGGAUCUCGGUCCGAUGCCGCUCACUACAACCCCUUGCCGGGCCGAGUUCCACGACCACCAUACUCACACGACUCAGAGUCCGUGGAAUCCGGAGGUCACAUGGGACAAGGUACGGACAGCGGAAGCUACGAAGG
Molecule: long non-coding RNA, 150 nt
Organism: Liolophura sinensis
Lineage: Eukaryota; Metazoa; Mollusca; Polyplacophora; Chitonida; Chitonidae
Exons: 3
Source: RefSeq, a predicted model, not a curated record